RNAcentral lists this ribosomal RNA (519 nucleotides) under uncultured bacterium. RNAcentral's name for it is "bacterial SSU rRNA". It matches the Rfam family "Bacterial small subunit ribosomal RNA", at positions 8 to 518 of the family's 1533-position model. The record is from RNAcentral.
AGACUUUGAUUCUGGCUCAGAUUGAACGCUAGCGGGAUGCUUUACACAUGCAAGUCGAACGGCAGCGCGGACUUCGGUCUGGCGGCGAGUGGCGAACGGGUGAGUAAUGUAUCGGAACGUGCCCAGUAGCGGGGGAUAACUACGCGAAAGCGUAGCUAAUACCGCAUACGCCCUACGGGGGAAAGGGGGGGAUCUUCGGACCUCUCACUAUUGGAGCGGCCGAUAUCGGAUUAGCUAGUUGGUGGGGUAAAGGCCUACCAAGGCGACGAUCCGUAGCUGGUUUGAGAGGACGACCAGCCACACUGGGACUGAGACACGGCCCAGACUCCUACGGGAGGCAGCAGUGGGGAAUUUUGGACAAUGGGGGCAACCCUGAUCCAGCCAUCCCGCGUGUGCGAUGAAGGCCUUCGGGUUGUAACAGCACUUCUUGGCAGGGAAGAAACAGGUCUGGAUAAUACCUGGACUGAAUGACGGUACCUGCAGAAUAAGCACCGGCUACACUACGUGCCAGCAGCACGC